CGAACGAAACUUUGUGUUAAUACGUACUUUGAAGCCGUCUAUCCGGUGUAUAAAAUCCUCAGCGGAUGGCCUAAUGGAUCGGCCAAAAAUACAACUGGAAGUUGGCCAGAAACAGUCGUAAUAUACUGCAAAAUAAAUGACGGAACGUCACGAGGAAAAUAUCUUAUGAACCAGGUUGAAAUAGCGAGGAAAAACUUCACGUCGCACUUAAACCCAAAGCGCUAACAGUGGGAGAAACGGUUGUCAGAUUUCAUGUACAGUGGUAACUCGACAUAUGAGUUUAAUUCGUUCCGUAACCUUGCUCGUAUCUCAAAGCAAUUUUCCCCACUGAAAUUAAUUGAAAUGCCAUUAAUCCGUUCCAGCUCCCAAAACACCACCUCAGUUGUUUUUGUUAAGUGUUUUUGAAUAAGAAAAAUGUAUUUACAAGAAGAAACAUUUAUUUAUAAAUAACAAAUACAUAUUCUAUAAAAACAUAAUAAAAGAAAAAGUGAAGUGCUUACAGAAGCGCUUAAUUUUCAUCACUGGUCUUCGCUUUUUCGUCACGCUUUGCUCAUUUUCACCUGCAGAUCGUUUAAAAAAACUGUCCAAGGAGGUUUGCUUCUUCCUCCCUUUCAGGAUAUUGCGGAAAUGAAUUAGGCAAGUUUUGUUGAACAACUCCGAUGCACGACCAGUUGCAACUUUUUCGGGGUGAUUUUUAUCCACGAACUCUACAACUUUCUCCCACAUUCCCAAGAUCUCCUUUAUAUCUCUUGUAGAGAUAACUUCCUCCAUCUUUGGCUCCUCUUCAAAACUAAUUUUUCGUUGAACCACCGUAUGCUCCUGCGAAUGUAGAUUGUGUAACUCCUUGGUUGUCAGCUCCUGAGACUGUUCCUCGAUGAGUUCAUUCACAUCUCUCUCAUCCACCUCCAGACCCAUGGAUUUUCCCAUAGAAACAAUCUCCUCUACCACUGACACUUCGGGUUCCAAUCCUUCAAAGGCCCUUUCAGCUACAGCCUCAGGCCACAGCUUCUUCCAUGCAGAGGUUAAGGUCCUCGUUGUAACACCCAGCCAGGCCUUAUCAAUAAUUCUUAGGCGUAUCACGAUGUUAAAGUGGUCCGUCCAGAACUCUCGAAGGGUAAGGUUUAUGUUCUCCGUCAUCUCAAAGCAGUGCCGAAAAAUGUGCUUGGUGUACAACUUCUUAAAAUUAGAAAUCACCUGCUGAUCCAUGGGCUGCAGGAUAGGAGUGGUGUUGGGUGGUAGGUAGAGAACCUUUAUAAACUUGAACUCUUCGAGUAAAUCAUCUUCGAGAUUUGGUGGGUGAGCAGGGACAUUGUCGAGGACAAGAAGUUGCAUGGGUAGGUUGUUUUCCUGUAGAUAUUUUUUAACAGAAGGGCCAAACACCAGGUUUAAUCACUCCACAAAGAAUUUCCUGGUGACCCACGCCUUCGGAUUUGACCUCCACAUAACUUGCAGUUUUUCUUUUAAAAUCUUAUGUGACUUAAAGGCUCUGGGAUUUUCCGAAUGGUAUACUAGCAGAGGCUUGAUUUUGCAGUGCCACGCGCAUUGGCGCAAAGUGCUAGAGCAUCGUGACCUGGCAUCGUCUUCUCCUCUGCCGUUAUGUAAGUCCUAUUCGGCAUCCUUUUCCAGAAAAGCCCUGUCUUAUCACAGUUGAAAACUUGCUGGGGGAUGUAUCCUUUGGCUUCUAUCAGUUCGGAAAACGUUUUGAUGUAAACCUCAGCUGCCUUCACAUCCAAACUUGCUGCCUCACCAUGCCUGACGACAUAGUGAAUGCCGGUCCUUUUCCUAAAGUUGUCAAACCAGCCCCGACUGGCUUUAAAGGAGUCUUCCGAUUCCUCAUUUGUGGAAGUGUGUGGAAUCUGCUUCAGCAAAUCACCGUAAAUCGCUCGUGCCUUCUCACAUAUGAUGCUUUGUGUUAAGAUUCCUCCUUGAAGCUGCUUCUCUGUCACCCGCACCAUCAGUAGUUUCUCCAUCUUUUCAUGGAGAGAGGUCCAGAGCUUAGAAAUUAUUGUAACGCCCUUAGCUGGCAUUAUACCCUUUAUCAACUCCUUCUGUUUAAGCACAGUACAUAUCAUUGAUGUGCUACGCCCGUACAUCCUCGCCAAGUCAAUUACUCGUACACCUUGCUCAUGUUUUUCUAUGAUUUCACGCUUUAAUUCAAUAGAUAUCAUCUUCUUCUUCGGACCCAUGGUUAUAAAAAUAAAUGUGAUAAUGUUUUGUAAAUGUACAAAAAGCAAAAAACGCAAAUCCAACUUAUCAAAAAUGCUUCGAAAACAAGGGAAACAAGCACACAGACUGAGGUCUAGUCUGAGGUGGGAGAAACUGUUAGAUGCUGCACACGACACCAACAUGCGCUUUGCAUGUUGGGUCGUGUGCAGUGGUGUAGUGUGCGAUUCCUUGUAUCUCAACUCUUGCUCUCAUCUCAAAGCAAAAUAUUGCUCGCUCGGCAGCUCGUAUUUCAAAACACUCGUAUAUUAGGGCACUCGUAUGUUGAGGUAUACUGUAUACCACUGUAUACUACAAAUAUGUCUGACGUGAAAGCCCUGCACAAAUGAAUUCCAUAAACAGGAUGACUUUUAACAUGCUGGCUCAAUCAUUGACCAAAAUCAAGUACAGACUGGAUAUUGUAUGUGCUUUAUCAGAAGCAUAUGUGGAAAUGUACUGAUUUAAUGUAGUAACUUUUUCAGAAGCACUUUCUCUUACUAUUAUCUACAGUGCAGUAUACACAAUUAUUUUCCCAAAUUAAUCCACAAAACUAGGGAGGUUUGAGAACACACUGUAUAAUAAUUUAUUAUUUUCAUUGAUGCAAUUAAUUAAAAACUAUUUUUAAAAUUUGUUUUAGGGUGGUGGUGCUGGUGGUUCUGUGAGAGAUGCUGGAGGUAGUUUUGGUAAAAUGGAAGCAGCAAGAGAAGAAGAAUAUUUUAGAAAAAAG
This 2929-nucleotide long non-coding RNA is filed under the name Centruroides sculpturatus (bark scorpion). RNAcentral describes it as "uncharacterized LOC111628719". Lineage: Eukaryota; Metazoa; Arthropoda; Arachnida; Scorpiones; Buthidae. The record is from RNAcentral.